RNAcentral lists this ribosomal RNA (515 nucleotides) under uncultured bacterium. RNAcentral's name for it is "partial 16S ribosomal RNA". It matches the Rfam family "Bacterial small subunit ribosomal RNA", at positions 28 to 523 of the family's 1533-position model. The record is from RNAcentral.
GAUGGACGCUGGCGGCGUGCCUAAUACAUGCAAGUCGAGCGAAUGGAUUAAGAGCUUGCUCUUAUGAAGUUAGCGGCGGACGGGUGAGUAACACGUGGGUAACCUGCCCAUAAGACUGGGAUAACUCCGGGAAACCGGGGCUAAUACCGGAUAACAUUUUGAACCGCAUGGUUCGAAAUUGAAAGGCGGCUUCGGCUGUCACUUAUGGAUGGACCCGCGUCGCAUUAGCUAGUUGGUGAGGUAAGGGCUAACCAAGGCAACGAUGCGUAGCCGACCUGAGGGGGUGAUCGGCCACACUGGGACGGAGACACGGCCCAGACUCCUACGGGAGGAAGCAGUAGGGAAUCUUCCGCAAUGGACGAAAGUCUGACGGAGCAACGCCGCGUGAGUGAUGAAGGCUUUCGGGUCGUAAAACUCUGUUGUUAGGGAAGAACAAGUGCUAGUUGAAUAAGCUGGAACCUUGACGGUACCUAACCAGAAAGCCACGGCUAACUACGUGCCAGCCGCCGCAGUAA